UGCAAGUCGAGCGAACUGAUUAGAAGCUUGCUUCUAUGACGUUAGCGGCGGACGGGUGAGUAACACGUGGGCAACCUGCCUGUAAGACUGGGAUAACUUCGGGAAACCGAAGCUAAUACCGGAUAACAUCAUUCCUUGCAUAAGGAAUGAUUGAAAGAUGGUUUCGGCUAUCACUUACAGAUGGGCCCGCGGUGCAUUAGCUAGUUGGUGAGGUAACGGCUCACCAAGGCAACGAUGCAUAGCCGACCUGAGAGGGUGAUCGGCCACACUGGGACUGAGACACGGCCCAGACUCCUACGGGAGGCAGCAGUAGGGAAUCUUCCGCAAUGGACGAAAGUCUGACGGAGCAACGCCGCGUGAGUGAUGAAGGCUUUCGGGUCGUAAAACUCUGUUGUUAGGGAAGAACAAGUAUGAGAGUAACUGCUCGUACCUUGACGGUACCUAACCAGAAAGCCACGGCUAACUACGUGCCAGCAGCCGCGGUAAUACGUAGGUGGCAAGCGUUAUCCGGAAUUAUUGGGCGUAAAGCGCGCGCAGGCGGUUUCUUAAGUCUGAUGUGAAAGCCCACGGCUCAACCGUGGAGGGUCAUUGGAAACUGGGGAACUUGAGUGCAGAAGAGAAGAGCGGAAUUCCACGUGUAGCGGUGAAAUGCGUAGAGAUGUGGAGGAACACCAGUGGCGAAGGCGGCUUUUUGGUCUGUAACUGACGCUGAGGCGCGAAAGCGUGGGG
RNAcentral lists this ribosomal RNA (729 nucleotides) under Bacillus sp. PSu2_42. Its description in RNAcentral is "bacterial SSU rRNA". It matches the Rfam family "Bacterial small subunit ribosomal RNA", at positions 56 to 766 of the family's 1533-position model. Lineage: Bacteria; Bacillati; Bacillota; Bacilli; Caryophanales; Bacillaceae. The record is from RNAcentral.